CAAAUAUUUGCUCAUAAUACAUAACAGACGCGCGCAACCUCAAAUCAUUAUGAUUUACCAUCUAACGCUGACGCACAAAAUGUUCAAAUUAUUAAUAUUUCUAUCAAUCACGGUUUGCGAGUGUGUGUAUUUUUAUUCGAGUUUUUGGACGCCGAGAAUGCUUAAUUACAAAGUUGAUGUCGGAUUUGAGCCAAAUGGUGGCAAAAUCGCGGCAAAAGAAUACGAGACCUUGUAUGGAUAUAGAGGAAGUAAAUUAAUAGCGGAUUUGGGUAAUGGAAGAGGCCCAUCCCAUGAUGCUAACGAUCCCAAGGUGUAUGGAAAGGUGCAUGUCUAUUCUGUGCCAGCGAAAUAAUAAUAAUCUUUAUAUUUUUAUAAGUUUCAAAACUAUGUUACAGAAAACGUAAAAGAAAUUAAAUAUGAUUUGCAUAAUAACUACACUUUACACAGUACAGAAUAAAAAUUAGACUUGGUCUUCAAAUAUUUA
Manduca sexta (tobacco hornworm) is the source of this 484-nucleotide long non-coding RNA. RefSeq lists it as uncharacterized. The transcript is spliced from 2 exons. The record is from RefSeq and is a predicted model, not a curated record. NCBI's taxonomy places the organism in Eukaryota, Metazoa, Arthropoda, Insecta, Lepidoptera, Sphingidae.